UUCAAAGACAAUCAAUCCGACCAAAUAUCGACGACGAAGUGAUGACUGUGAAACGCGAGAUGGAAAAUAUUCGGGAGAAAUGUAGUAUACAAAUGGCGUUCUCUAAACGACAGAAAACCGAACUAGCUGGAUUCCAGUUUGAUCUAAAUAGCUUGAAAAAAUCUGGUAGUCAACAGAAGAUGGAGCUUAAACAUUUAGGAACUGUUGUAAUAAACGAUUUAAAAACUUUGAAAGAGGAAGGCGGAUAUCAUUUAAG
This is a long non-coding RNA of Eurytemora carolleeae, 256 nucleotides long. RefSeq lists it as uncharacterized. The transcript is spliced from 4 exons. NCBI's taxonomy places the organism in Eukaryota, Metazoa, Arthropoda, Copepoda, Calanoida, Temoridae. The record is from RefSeq and is a predicted model, not a curated record.